AUAUCUCUUUAGCCAGAGAAUUGUUAUUUGAGCGCCAUUUAUUUCUUCUCACAUAAGCUUUCUUCCAAACCGCGUGUUUGUAUUCUCAAUUAUCAAUUAGGAAAUCCCAAUCUGUUUUCAAUCAUUCUCCAAAAUUAUGAAUUUGUUUCCUUUAUCGAUUAUAAACCCUAGAUGUAUAAGCAGAUUCUUCAAUCGUGAAUAACAUAGCGUCUUCAUCUGUUACUUUUUGAUUGUGUAAAACCCUCGAAAACCUGUGAACUCUUCAGAUCUUGAAUCCCAUUAUCAUCGAUUAGUCUCAACCAGAUUUCUUUUGUGAUUCCUUUGUUCUUCAUCUAUUUUUUCUAUGAAUCUGUUACAAACCCUAAGUUUUUUUGUAUGAAUUUUGGUACAGAAUAUGAUGCGUACAAUUGAGGGAUUCAAGCGCUGCAAAGCAGGAUAUAAAUUUAUUUAAUGUUUUCCACUUUAUCUAGAGCAUACAAUUGGGGGAUUUAAGCACAACAAAGCAGGAGUUGAAUAUAUGUAAGUUUUUAGGGCUUUGAUUUUUGUUAUUGCGGUGCAGGUACGUUUCAUCGUCAGUUUUUCAAAUGGGUUACGUGUCUAAUUUUCGAAGGUUAAACGAGAAUUGAGUCAGUUAGAAACCCUAGAUUGAUAACCAGAUUCUUCACACUGCUUCUCAAAACCCUUAUUUUGAUUCAACGUCGUUGUCCUCUCCAACAAUCCCUUCAAUAGCGACUACAUGAGAGGAUCUCUGAUUCCAGUCUAAUCUUCCAGGUGAUAAUAGGCUUUUGUUUCAACAGAAUCCGUCAUAUCUUCUAAUCAUUUGUGUACUUUAAUCAGUUAAUCUGAUGUUCUGUGUAUAUGUUUGCUUUGAUUUAUGUAUAUUCAUGUUAUUAUUUAGAUCUUCGACUCAAAUUGUUGUGUUUUUGUAAUUAUCAUAAGCCCUAAUUAUUUAGGGAAAUAGUGUUAUUCAUUUCAAAAAUUAUAUCAACUACAGCUGGAGGCAAUAGACAACAUAAGUACGAUUGGUGAAUGAGUUGCCAGAGUUAUCCGAGGCAGACAUGAUUGUCUUUUUAGGCAAAAUAUAGUGAUUUGCAAUAUAUAGUGAUUUGCAAUAGACAAAAUAGGUACGAUCGGUGAAUGAGUUGCCAGAGUUAUCUGAGGCAGACAUGAUUGUCUUUUUAGGCAAAAUAUAGUGAUUUGUAAUAUAUAGUGAUUUGCAAUAGACAAAAUAAGUACGAUCGGUGAAUGAGUUGCCAAAGUUAUCCGAGGCAGACAUGAUUGUCUUUUUAGGCGACUUCAAUUAUCGGCUUGAUGGCAUUUCUUAUGAUGAAGCACGGGAUUUUAUAUUUCAAAGAAGUUUCGAUUGGCUUAGAGAGAAAGAUGAGCUUCAUAUCGAAAUAAAAGCUGGAACUGUAUUUCAAGGAAUGCGUGAAGUCGUUAUUACGUUCCCACCCACUUACAAGUUUGAACGACAUCAACCUGGUUUAGCAGGGUACGAUUCUGGAGAGAAAAAGCGGAUUCCUGCAUGGUGUGACCGAGUCUUGUAUCGUGACAACCGUCCAGAUUCAUCAGGAUGGUGCUGAAAUGGUAGAAAAAUGGUGGUUCUAUAAUUCAGAAGCUUCUUACAGAGAAGAGAGAUGUUACACGACUUUUGAUAGUUUGAAAGUUAAAGCAAACAACUGGACGCAAAAAAACACUUGGUUAAUAGCAAAAAGAUAUUGCCUAUAGCAUUGAAGUAUCCUGUUGGACUGAAAAAUUUAUUAUGCCCCACUCCUCCUUUCAAGAUGCCAAGUAGAAUUCAUUUUUUCUAUUUCUUUAACAGAAUACCCAAAGUGAAAUUAGUGAUGUGAAUGGAAGGUGAAUGAGAAGUAGGAAAACUCGAUGCGACUGGGCACCAAAUGGUGUUGGAUGGUAACAAACAAAGGGUGAUUACUUAGCUUCUGAAGUUGGAUACUUUACUUGAUGAUAGCGUGGGCCAAAAUGUCGAGUUGGAGUUUGAAAGGAGUGGCACGUCUUUGACCGUUCAGUUGGUGAUGAGUGACAGACUUCUUACAUCCAUGUUAUAUGCUUUACAGAGAUUUAUCAUGUGUUCUUUGUUUUAGGCUGAAGACUUGCACUCCAUAACUCUAAACUACUUUUCGGAGUUAGUGGUGGAGUUAUACACGCACUCUCGAAUCAACAAGCUCAGAAUUUUUGUUUUCAUUAUAGUCUUGUGCAUAUAUCAGAACCUGGGUAACUUCUUUGAUAAAAUUGUUUUUAUCCCAUUAAUAUAACACUUUGGUUUGACCCUCAAUGCCUAAAUGCAUGGGAAAAUAACAAGGUUGACUAUUAGUACACUUCUAGAAAUAACACAUUCAACCAUUAGAAUUGGUAUGUACUAUCUAUAGUUACAUGCUAAAUAAAGCCAGGGUCCCACGCCAUGCCAUUACUAAGAGCUUAGCCGAUAAAAAUGUUCUAUCCAAGGUCUCUAGAAGAGCUCAGGUUCCAUUCGUAUACAUAAAUGACAAGAAUCUCCAUAGUAGGAAGGUAUACCAAUACUAAUCUUUGUAUAAUAUCCAUUUAAAAAAACUAUUGUUAACAACCCGUUUGCAACUUUCAAGAUAAAGUCAGCUUAUUUACCGCGUUAUAGAGCAACCAAUAUGGAAGUUAUAGAGCUUGAUAUUGAUAUUUCUACAUACUAUAUUAUCAUGUCACAUAAUAGUAUUUUUAUAAUGCUUUGAAAGUUUGAAUUUUGAAUUAGGUGUCCAUAUUAUAUGGUGUUAAUAGGUCUAGACAUGUACCUUUUCAGGCUGGGUUUAAACGGGUCAGGCCCUCGGGCACUUUGGCCAGGUCAAAUUAACUUGGUUUUUUUUUUAAUCUUUUAGGUUUACAAGCUAUUGAUAUAUACAUAUUAUGUGAUGGCAGAAACUAUUAUUUUAAAGUUACAUAAUUUGGUCUCUUUUUACAGAAUGGACUAAAGUAGGGAUGAGCUCGGUACCAAUCGCUAUCGAACCGGUACCGGAAAUCCUCAAAAGUGGGCACCGGUACCGAAUAUACCUGAUAUGAUACGGUUCGAUCCCGGUAUCAAAAAUAUCAAAAAGUCAUUCGGUACUCAAAAAUGUACCCAGUUCGGUAAAUUCGGUACCGGUUCCCGGUACCAUUUGCUCAUCCCUAGACUAAAGUCUUGUGAAUUGUGAAGCCAUGUCUCUUUGUUUCUAUAUAUUUAUUUUAUUACAGCACAACACAUGUGAAAGUAUAAAUGUGUGUAGAAAGUAAUUAUAGAUUGUAUGUGAGUGCACAAUCAUGUCACAUCAAAGUAUUAGUAUAAUGCUUUGAAUAACCUUACAUAUAUAUGGAUUGUUAAUUCCUAUAACUGCAGCCAGGGCAAGGAUGGAGUUGUUAGGUACUGUGAUAUUCAACAUGGGGAGUUGUCAAGGGUCGACCCACGCAGCGAAGUAAGGACUUGAAGAAUGAUCAAACCGAAAAACAAUUUAUGUACACCCGCGGAACAUGAAGGAACGGCUGGAAGCCGCACAUAAAGAAGCCAUACCAGGUGUCCGACUUUAGUGAUAUAUGAAACUAAUGCUCGCCGCCAUCUAAUUCUAGCGGUGACUAUGGCAUGUAGGUGUAGCAAACACUUUGGUUUUACAAACACGGCGGUUGUUGCCAUCUUCAUAUGUGAAUCAUUAUUUUUCUAACAAUCUUCCAAAUCAGCCAAUGACCGUUUGAUUUGUGCAAGUGAGGUUCAUCAGUGGAGUGUCAGAAUGAAGAAAAAAGGGAGUUUUUACUACUUCAGUGAAGGAGUGAAGGAUGGACAUAUGUUUCACAAGAUAUGUUUUUAAUUAGUGGAGUGUCAGAAUGAAGAAAAAAAAUGGAGUUUUUUACUAACUAUAAACAAAUACACCGACUCCAGUUAUUCCGUUAUGCGCCUUUAUAGUUUUGAGAGAUUUGAUGGAACUGUGCAGUUAUUCUUUUAGAUCUU
This 3961-nucleotide long non-coding RNA is filed under the name Helianthus annuus (common sunflower). The record is from RNAcentral. Lineage: Eukaryota; Viridiplantae; Streptophyta; Magnoliopsida; Asterales; Asteraceae.